This 464-nucleotide ribosomal RNA is filed under the name Vreelandella stevensii. RNAcentral describes it as "partial 16S ribosomal RNA". It matches the Rfam family "Bacterial small subunit ribosomal RNA", at positions 338 to 795 of the family's 1533-position model. Lineage: Bacteria; Pseudomonadati; Pseudomonadota; Gammaproteobacteria; Oceanospirillales; Halomonadaceae. The record is from RNAcentral.
CCUACGGGUGGCUGCAGUGGGGAAUAUUGGACAAUGGGCGAAAGCCUGAUCCAGCCAUGCCGUGUGUGUGAAGAAGGCCUUCGGGUUGUAAAGCACUUUCAGUGGGGAAGAAAGCCUUGGGGCUAAUACCCUCGAGGAAGGACAUCACCCACAGAAGAAGCACCGGCUAACUCCGUGCCAGCAGCCGCGGUAAUACGGAGGGUGCGAGCGUUAAUCGGAAUUACUGGGCGUAAAGCGCGCGUAGGCGGUCUGAUAAGCCGGUUGUGAAAGCCCCGGGCUCAACCUGGGAACGGCAUCCGGAACGUUCAGGGUAGGGGGCAGGAGAGGAAGGUAGAAUUCCCGGGGUAGCGGGGAAAUGCGUAGAGAUCGGGAGGAAUACCAGGGGCGAAGGCGGCCUUCUGGACUGACACUGACGCUGGGGUGCGAAAGCGUGGGUAGCAAACAGGAUUAGAUACCCUGUAGUC